RNAcentral lists this long non-coding RNA (242 nucleotides) under Cavia porcellus (domestic guinea pig). RNAcentral describes it as "lncRNA (ENSCPOG00000036946.1)". Lineage: Eukaryota; Metazoa; Chordata; Mammalia; Rodentia; Caviidae. The record is from RNAcentral.
GUGAAUCAGGCGCUGGCAGAUCAGUGAGGUGCAGGCCAGCGAACCGCCCGGCAGGGCCUGGACACACACUGGCUGGGGGCGCAUGCGGAGAUCGCCCCGCCUUUGAGAAGCUCCCUUCUGCUGCUCCGGCUUCCGCUGCUGCCCUUACCUGCCAAAGAUGUCACCGUGAGGGGUGAGGACGGGAGGAAACCAGGCAUGCUUAUGACUUUUGGUGAAUACACUGGGGUAAUUAUUGGUGUUUA